Molecule: ribosomal RNA, 485 nt
Filed under: Salmonella enterica
Lineage: Bacteria; Pseudomonadati; Pseudomonadota; Gammaproteobacteria; Enterobacterales; Enterobacteriaceae
Description: partial 23S ribosomal RNA
Rfam family: Bacterial large subunit ribosomal RNA
Source: RNAcentral
GGCGUUAAGUUGCAGGGUAUAGACCCGAAACCCGGUGAUCUAGCCAUGGGCAGGUUGAAGGUUGGGUAACACUAACUGGAGGACCGAACCGACUAAUGUUGAAAAAUUAGCGGAUGACCUGUGGCUGGGGGUGAAAGGCCAAUCAAACCGGGAGAUAGCUGGUUCUCCCCGAAAGCUAUUUAGGUAGCGCCUCGUGAAUUCAUCUCCGGGGGUAGAGCACUGUUUCGGCUAGGGGGCCAUCCCGGCUUACCAACCCGAUGCAAACUGCGAAUACCGGAGAAUGUUAUCACGGGAGACACACGGCGGGUGCUAACGUCCGUCGUGAAGAGGGAAACAACCCAGACCGCCAGCUAAGGUCCCAAAGUCAUGGUUAAGUGGGAAACGAUGUGGGAAGGCCCAGACAGCCAGGAUGUUGGCUUAGAAGCAGCCAUCAUUUAAAGAAAGCGUAAUAGCUCACUGGUCGAGUCGGCCUGCGCGGAAGAUGU